Molecule: long non-coding RNA, 291 nt
Organism: Asterias rubens (European starfish)
Lineage: Eukaryota; Metazoa; Echinodermata; Asteroidea; Forcipulatida; Asteriidae
Exons: 3
Source: RefSeq, a predicted model, not a curated record
UGCACACGAGGAGUCUCCUUUUGUGAAACCGCGGAUUUGUAAUUCGAAGUCGUGAACAUCAUUUGGAGCUUUUGAUACCGUGGAUUAUGAAAUCUCGUUGCGUGGAUAUGCAUGUAAGAAUUUGACUGCAUUCUGACAAACAAACAUGGCGACCAUCUUGAUGCUUGUACUUCUGGCGGCCCUAACCGGUGACGCAAUACUCGCAAACCAAUGUUUCCACGGCAACGACAGUGUACUUUCGUUGGAGGUUGUGACGAACACCCAUGGGGACCGACUUGAGGCCAACUGCAC